CGAGAGAAAAUCAAUUCACGCAAUUACACACAGAAAGAUUUUCAGUGUUGCAGAUGAUGUUCAGUUUGCAGAGGUAUUUGAAAUGGAAAGAAAGAGAAAUAUGAACAUACAUUGACUGCUUUGAAUAUAAGGUGUAAAAAAGAGUUACAUGUGCCAAAAAAUAUGUUGAAAAUUUGAAAACUGUUAACAAGAGCAUCAACGAAUAGAAAAAAGAACAAUACCAGGUCUGGACAUUUGUGGCAGCAUGCAAUUAUUACCAGGAAAAACAUGUAGCUGCACAGAAGACACCCCUGAUCAUAAAAUUGCAUGUAAAAAAGGAAAGCAUUCCUUUUCAUAGAAUCAAAGAACUCUUUUAACCAAGUCAAGAUGUUAUUAGACAUGUUAUCAUAUAUAUAGUACAUUUGUAUUUACAAAUAUAAGAAGUAUGUGUGACUAUGUCAUGUUACAUGUAUGCUGAGAAUAUUUUAAUGUCACAAGGAUAUGAAAUGGAUAAAUGAAAUAUUGUCAACCAUUUAAAUAAAACAGACAGGCUCACAUAAAAAUCAACUACCUAUGUGAAAGUUUAAGUUGAAUUUAUUGUCUAGAAUUAACAUACCAUAUAUCCAAAGCACAGAAUUGCCUUUCUUAGAAAUUUAAUAUGUUAAAUAGAAUGAUAUUUGUAGCUUUUAUUUUCUUGGAACUGUUUCAAUAUAAAAUAAGGGAGAUGUGGUAUGAUUGUCAAUGAGACAAAUUUCCACCAGAGACCAAAGUAAAUGUUAGAAAAUACAGGUCACAGUUAUGUUUGACAUUGUGUAGCAAUAUAUAUGAAAGACACAAAGAUUAUAGUGUAAAAUAAUUCAAACAAGAUAAUGAACUAUUAAUGAUUACUCUUAAACCUGGCAGCAAACUCACUGAAACUAAACAUAAAAGCCAAUUACAGUCAACUCAUAUUCACAAAAGGAACUAUUUUCGGUCAACAUUGAAUUCAAAAAACCAUCAAAGGCAAUGAAAGUUAACAUCUAUGUAGGACUAAAAUCUAUGGCGGGUUCCAAAUCUGUGGCAGAUUCCUAAUCUAUGGCAAAUGUGACGUUACAAACGCCAAACAACUCAAAUCUAUGGCAGAUUUUUGUUUACUCCAAAUCUAUGGCAGAUCUUGUGGAAAGGGUACCGUAUAACGUCACAAUUGAAUAUACUGCCAUAUUACAUUUUCGCCACAGAUAACGAUGGCGAAACCCAUAGAUUUGAACACCAUUCAAGAUAAAGAUAUUUCCCUGGCAACAAUUUGCGGGUGGUUUAAAGGAAGAUGUGACAUAUUAUCCCGAAGAUGGACCAAAUGCGCUGUACUAGCCGAGUCCGGCGAUGAAUUAUGGCACUGCUAUUUUAAGUAACGCAUAUUUUAGAAAAAAGGAUUUUUAGAGCCCUUUAGAGUUUGCUGUUCAGUGUGAGCAAAGGCUCCGUGUUGAAGGCCGUACCUUGACCUAUACUGGUUUACUUAUAAAUUGUAACUUUGAUGGACAGUUGUCUCAUUGGCACUCAUACCACAUCUUCCUAUAUCUAGUUUGUAGUAGUUUACUGUAGACGGCUGGCAAAGUUACUAUGAUAUAUAAAAUUACCAGAUACAAAUUUGAUUUAAAUCGUCAGCAAAUAAAAAAAAGAUGUAUUAACGAUAUCGCUGAAAUAAAUAUUAUUUGAAAAUUCAAACUGUUUAAUUUUCUUGGCCGUUACUUUUUUAAUUUUAUUUUUUAUAAUUAGCGGCCUC
Mytilus trossulus (common blue mussel) is the source of this 1738-nucleotide long non-coding RNA. RefSeq lists it as uncharacterized. The transcript has 3 exons. NCBI's taxonomy places the organism in Eukaryota, Metazoa, Mollusca, Bivalvia, Mytilida, Mytilidae. The record is from RefSeq and is a predicted model, not a curated record.